AGACCCGAAACCCGGUGAUCUAGCCAUGGGCAGGUUGAAGGUUGGGUAACACUAACUGGAGGACCGAACCGACUAAUGUUGAAAAAUUAGCGGAUGACCUGUGGCUGGGGGUGAAAGGCCAAUCAAACCGGGAGAUAGCUGGUUCUCCCCGAAAGCUAUUUAGGUAGCGCCUCGUGAAUUCAUCUCCGGGGGUAGAGCACUGUUUCGGCUAGGGGGCCAUCCCGGCUUACCAACCCGAUGCAAACUGCGAAUACCGGAGAAUGUUAUCACGGGAGACACACGGCGGGUGCUAACGUCCGUCGUGAAGAGGGAAACAACCCAGACCGCCAGCUAAGGUCCCAAAGUCAUGGUUAAGUGGGAAACGAUGUGGGAAGGCCCAGACAGCCAGGAUGUUGGCUUAGAAGCAGCCAUCAUUUAAAGAAAGCGUAAUAGCUCACUGGUCGAGUCGGCCUGCGCGGAAGAUGUAACGGGGCUAAACCAUGCACCGAAGCUGCGGCAGCGAACGUAUCACCCAAGACAACUUUACGGAGUUGACGAUUGACGGAGCGAAGCGACGUCAAAGCGUUCAUUAAAGUCGAGUUGGCUUAGGGAUACGUUCGUUGGGUAGGGGAGCGUUCUGUAAGCCUGUGAAGGUGUGUCGUGAGGCAUGCUGGAGGUAUCAGAAGUGCGAAUGCUGACAUAAGUAACGAUAAAGCGGGUGAAAAGCCCGCUCGCCGGAAGACCAAGGGUUCCUGUCCAACGUUAAUCGGGGCAGGGUGAGUCGACCCCUAAGGCGAGGCCGAAAGGCGUAGUCGAUGGGAAACGGGUUAAUAUUCCCGUACUUGGUGUUACUGCGAAGGGGGGACGGAGAAGGCUAUGUUGGCCGGGCGACGGUUGUCCCGGUUUAAGGGUGUAGGUGUGUGUUCCAGGUAAAUCCGGUUCACUUUAACACUGAGGCGUGACGACGAGGCACUACGGUGCUGAAGCAACAAAUGCCCUGCUUCCAGGAAAAGCCUCUAAGCAUCAGGUAACACGAAAU
Molecule: ribosomal RNA, 1018 nt
Filed under: Salmonella enterica subsp. enterica serovar Typhimurium
Lineage: Bacteria; Pseudomonadati; Pseudomonadota; Gammaproteobacteria; Enterobacterales; Enterobacteriaceae
Description: partial 23S ribosomal RNA
Rfam family: Bacterial large subunit ribosomal RNA
Source: RNAcentral